This 524-nucleotide ribosomal RNA is filed under the name uncultured Acaulospora. RNAcentral's name for it is "SSU rRNA". It matches the Rfam family "Eukaryotic small subunit ribosomal RNA", at positions 569 to 1092 of the family's 1831-position model. Lineage: Eukaryota; Fungi; Glomeromycota; Glomeromycetes; Diversisporales; Acaulosporaceae. The record is from RNAcentral.
AGCAGCCGCGGUAAUUCCAGCUCCAAUAGCGUAUAUUAAAGUUGUUGCAGUUAAAAAGCUCGUAGUUGAAUUUCGGAAUCUGUCCAUCGGUCGGGCUUCACUGUCCGUACUGGUGUGGUGGGUUCUUACCUUCUGAAUAACCAGCAUGCCAUUAAUUUGGUGCGUUGGGGAAGCAGGACUAUUACCUUGAAAAAAUUAGAGUGCUCAAAGCAGGCCAGUGCCUGAAUACAUUAGCAUGGAAUAAUAAAAUAGGACGGCAUGGUUCUAUUUUGUUGGUUUCUAGGAUCACCGUAAUGAUUAAUAGGGAUAGUUGGGGGCAUUAGUAUUCAAUUGUCAGAGGUGAAAUUCUUGGAUUUAUUGAAGACUAACUUCUGCGAAAGCAUUUGCCAAGGAUGUUUUCAUUAAUCAAGAACGAAAGUUAGGGGAUCGAAGACGGUCAGAUACCGUCGUAGUCUUAACCAUAAACUAUGCCGACUAGGGAUCGGACGAUGUUAAUUUUUUAAUGACUCGUUCGGCGCCUUACG